GAUGAACGCUAGCUACAGGCUUAACACAUGCAAGUCGAGGGACCGGCGCACGGGUGAGUAACACGUAUCCAACCUGCCCUUUACUCGGGGAUAGCCUUUCGAAAGAAAGAUUAAUACCCGAUAUAAAGGAUGGGGAUGCGUUCCAUUAGGUUGUUGGUGAGGUAACGGCUCACCAAGCCUUCGAUGGAUAGGGGUUCUGAGAGGAAGGUCCCCCACAUUGGAACUGAGAGACGGCCCAAACUCCUACGGGAGGCAGAAGUGAGGAAUAUUGGUCAAUGGGUGCUAGCCUGAACCAGCAUAGUAGCGUGAAGGAUGAAGGUUUAUGGGUCUUUAUCUUCUUUUAUAUAAGAUUAUGUAUUAUAUGAAUAAGGAUCGGCUAACUCCGGGCCAGCAGCGGCGGGAAUAC
RNAcentral lists this ribosomal RNA (406 nucleotides) under uncultured bacterium. RNAcentral's name for it is "partial 16S ribosomal RNA". It matches the Rfam family "Bacterial small subunit ribosomal RNA", at positions 28 to 526 of the family's 1533-position model. The record is from RNAcentral.